This is an RNA transcript of Vitis riparia (riverbank grape), 1813 nucleotides long. It is a transcript of the gene named DNA-directed RNA polymerases II, IV and V subunit 3-like, with no coding region annotated. The transcript has 7 exons. The record is from RefSeq and is a predicted model, not a curated record. NCBI's taxonomy places the organism in Eukaryota, Viridiplantae, Streptophyta, Magnoliopsida, Vitales, Vitaceae.
CUCGGCCCUUUCGCACCAUCUGAUUUCCCUCCCUCCAAAUUCGAUGUUUCCAAUUCCCCUGACCAAAGCAUCUGUCUGAGACAAACAGGGAGGUAGAAGAAGAAGAAGAAGAGCAGCAAUGGAAGGAGUAUCCUACCAGCGUUUCCCAAAAAUCAAGAUCCGGGAAGUCAAGGACGACUACGCCAAGUUCGAGCUCCGUGAGACCGAUGCCAGCAUGGCCAACGCUCUCCGCCGUGUCAUGAUCGCCGAAGUUCCCACCGUUGCCAUUGACCUUGUCGAAAUCGAGGUUAACUCCUCUGUUCUCAAUGACGAGUUCAUCGCCCACCGACUCGGACUCAUUCCUCUCACCAGUGAGCGAGCCAUGUCCAUGCGAUUCUCUCGCGACUGUGACGCAUGCGACGGUGACGGCCAGUGCGAGUUUUGUUCCGUCGAGUUCCAUUUGCGCGCCAAAUGCAUGACCGACGAAACCCUUGAUGUUACUAGCAAGGACCUCAUCAGCUCCGACCAUACUGUUGUCCCUGUUGACUUCUCCGAUUCCUCUGGCUACGAUUCCGCUGAUAAGAAGGGAAUUAUAAUUGUGAAGCUGCGGCGAGGGCAAGAACUGAGGCUGAGAGCUAUUGCCAGAAAGGGGAUUGGGAAGGACCACGCGAAAUGGUCACCGGCGGCUACUGUUACUUUUAUGUACGAGCCUGAGAUUCAUAUCAAUGAAGAUUUGAUGGAAUCUUUGACGCUUGAGGAGAAAACAAGUUGGGUUGAGAGCAGUCCCACAAAAGUUUUUGACAUUGAUGCUAGUUCCCAACAGGUUGUUGUGGCUGAUGCUGAGGCAUACACUUAUGACGAUGAAGUGCUCAAGAAAGCAGAAGCUAUGGGGAAGCCAGGGCUUGUGGAGAUCUAUGCCAAAGAAGACAGUUUUAUAUUCACAGUUGAAUCUACUGGUGCAAUCAAAGCUUCUCAGUUGGUGCUCAAUGCAAUAGAUGUUCUUAAACAAAAGCUUGAUGCAGUGCGGCUAUCAGAGGAUACGGUAGAAGCUGAUGAUCAAUUUGGUGAACUCGGUGCUCAUAUGCGAGGAGGAUGAUCAUUUUGGACCAAACCCACAAGCUGUCAAGAUGUCCUUGGUGUGCCAUUUGGAAAUGUUUCUGGGCAGGCUGUCAUGGAAUAUGAUUAUUUUCCCUUAGUAGCAGGAUUCUCCUAUAUAGUUGGAAAAAAGAAGAGAGAAAGGUCGGGGUUGGACUACAGGGGAAUUGGUUCUUUUCCCAUCCUUACUUGGAAGACAUCAUGUGCUUAUUUGGGACAAACAGUAUUCUUUCUUCCAGAUGGAAAGAAUCUUACCUUGAGAGCAUGGUUUCAGAAUUAAAUACUAGCUACAAUGUUUUCCUGUGAUAAAUUGGACUUCCAAAGUUACUGAAGUUAAACAGGAAUUUCUUUGGAUGAAAAAUGAUUCGCAGUCUUCAAACUAUUAUCCAACAAGACAGCCUUACCAAUUUUUACGGAGGUCACGAAUUGGUCCUGAGGAUCCAUGGAUUCAAUAUCCAGAACACUUAAUUGUUGGAUUAUCUUAAUGAAAAGGAGGGAAUGAACUGUAUUGAAAGUUGUAACAUAAAAUUUUCAAAUUGGGUUCGCAGGCCUUGAUUGUGAAACGCGUCAUGCGUGACUCUGGAUCGUAGCAAAAAAAACCCCAGAUCAGCAUGUUUGUAAUGCAGGAAAAUGCCGCUAGGAAACUAAUUACCUGCUGCUGUGGUGUAAAACUGAGGGAAAUGUUAGUUUGUCUCCUGAUUUUAUUUCCAUUUAUACAAUGAGUGCGCUUCCCAGGAAA